This 290-nucleotide ribosomal RNA is filed under the name uncultured bacterium. RNAcentral's name for it is "partial 16S ribosomal RNA". It matches the Rfam family "Bacterial small subunit ribosomal RNA", at positions 334 to 640 of the family's 1533-position model. The record is from RNAcentral.
GCGCCCUACGGGGGGCAGCAGUGGGGAAUAUUGCACAAUGGGGGGAACCCUGAUGCAGCGACGCCGCGUGGGCGAGGAAGUAUUUCGGUAUGUAAAGCCCUAUCGGCAGGGAAGAAGAAAUGACGGUACCUGAAUAAGAAGCACCGGCUAAAUACGUGCCAGCAGCCGCGGUAAUACGUAUGGUGCAAGCGUUAUCCGGAUUUACUGGGCGUAAAGGGAGCGCAGGCGGCGCGCCAAGUCUGAUGUGAAACCCCGGGGCUCAACCCCCGGCCUGCCUUGGAAACUGGGUG